This 497-nucleotide ribosomal RNA is filed under the name uncultured bacterium. RNAcentral describes it as "partial 16S ribosomal RNA". It matches the Rfam family "Bacterial small subunit ribosomal RNA", at positions 28 to 507 of the family's 1533-position model. The record is from RNAcentral.
GAUGAACGCUGGCGGCGUGCCUAAUACAUGCAAGUCGAGCGAACGGACGAGAAGCUUGCUUCUCUGAUGUUAGCGGCGGACGGGUGAGUAACACGUGGAUAACCUACCUAUAAGACUGGGAUAACUUCGGGAAACCGGAGCUAAGACCGGAUAAUAUUUUGAACCGCAUGGUUCAAAAGUGAAAGACGGUCUUGCUGUCACUUAUAGAUGGAUCCGCGCUGCAUUAGCUAGUUGGUAAGGUAACGGCUUACCAAGGCAACGAUGCAUAGCCGACCUGAGAGGGUGAUAGGCCACACUGGAACGGAGACACGGUCCAGACUCCUACGGGAGGCAGCAGUAGGGAAUCUUCCGCAAUGGGCGAAAGCCUGACGGAGCAACGCCGCGUGAGUGAUGAAGGUCUUCGGAUCGUAAAACUCUGUUAUUAGGGAAGAACAUAUGUGUAAGUAACUGUGCACAUCUUGACGGUACCUAAUCAGAAAGCCACGGCUAACUACGUG